This 447-nucleotide ribosomal RNA is filed under the name uncultured bacterium. RNAcentral describes it as "partial 16S ribosomal RNA". It matches the Rfam family "Bacterial small subunit ribosomal RNA", at positions 331 to 792 of the family's 1533-position model. The record is from RNAcentral.
CCAGACUCCUACGGGAGGCAGCAGUGGGGGAUAUUGCACAAUGGAGGAAACUCUGAUGCAGCGACGCCGCGUGAAGGAAGAAGGCUUUCGGGUUGUAAACUUCUUUUCUCAGGGACGAAGAAAGUGACGGUACCUGAGGAAUAAGCCACGGCUAACUACGUGCCAGCAGCCGCGGUAAUACGUAGGUGGCAAGCGUUAUCCGGAUUUACUGGGUGUAAAGGGCGUGUAGGCGGGACUGCAAGUCAGAUGUGAAAACCACGGGCUCAACCUGUGGCCUGCAUUUGAAACUGUUUUUCUUGAGUACUGGAGAGGCAGACGGAAUUCCUAGUGUAGCGGUGAAAUGCGUAGAUAUUAGGAGGAACACCAGUGGCGAAGGCGGUCUGCUGGACAGCAACUGACGCUGAGGCGCGAAAGCGUGGGGAGCAAACAGGAUUAGAUACCCUAGUA